This 1397-nucleotide ribosomal RNA is filed under the name metagenome. RNAcentral's name for it is "bacterial SSU rRNA". It matches the Rfam family "Bacterial small subunit ribosomal RNA". The record is from RNAcentral.
GGGUGAGUAAUGCAUCGGAACGUGCCAUUGAGUGGGGGAUAGCGUAGCGAAAGUUGCGCUAAUACCGCAUAUUCUGUGAGCAGGAAAGCAGGGGACCGCAAGGCCUUGCGCUCUUUGAGCGGCCGAUGUCAGAUUAGCUAGUUGGUGAGGUAAAGGCUUACAAGGCGACGAUCUGUAGCGGGUCUGAGAGGAUGAUCCGCCACACUGGAACUGAGACACGGUCCAGACUCCUACGGGAGGCAGCAGUGGGGAAUUUUGGACAAUGGGGGCAACCCUGAUCCAGCCAUGCCGCGUGAGUGAAGAAGGCCUUCGGGUUGUAAAGCUCUUUCGGCCGGGAAGAAAUCGCAUGGGCCAAUACCCUGUGUGGAUGACGGUACCGGAAUAAGAAGCACCGGCUAACUACGUGCCAGCAGCCGCGGUAAUACGUAGGGUGCGAGCGUUAAUCGGAAUUACUGGGCGUAAAGCGUGCGCAGGCGGUUUUGUAAGACAGGCGUGAAAUCCCCGGGCUUAACCUGGGAACUGCGUUUGUGACUGCAAGGCUAGAGUACGGCAGAGGGGGGUGGAAUUCCACGUGUAGCAGUGAAAUGCGUAGAGAUGUGGAGGAACACCAAUGGCGAAGGCAGCCCCCUGGGUCGAUACUGACGCUCAUGCACGAAAGCGUGGGUAGCAAACAGGAUUAGAUACCCUGGUAGUCCACGCCCUAAACUAUGUCAACUAGGUGUUGGGUGGGUAAAACAUUUAGUACCGUAGCUAACGCGUGAAGUUGACCGCCUGGGGAGUACGGCCGCAAGGUUAAAACUCAAAGGAAUUGACGGGGACCCGCACAAGCGGUGGAUGAUGUGGAUUAAUUCGAUGCAACGCGAAAAACCUUACCUACCCUUGACAUGCCAGGAACUUGCCAGAGAUGGCUUGGUGCCCGAAAGGGAGCCUGGACACAGGUGCUGCAUGGCUGUCGUCAGCUCGUGUCGUGAGAUGUUGGGUUAAGUCCCGCAACGAGCGCAACCCUUGUCGUUAAUUGCCAUCAUUUAGUUGGGCACUUUAACGAGACUGCCGGUGACAAACCGGAGGAAGGUGGGGAUGACGUCAAGUCCUCAUGGCCCUUAUGGGUAGGGCUUCACACGUCAUACAAUGGUCGGUACAAAGGGUUGCCAAGCCGCGAGGCGGAGCCAAUCCCAGAAAGCCAAUCGUAGUCCGGAUUGCAGGCUGCAACUCGCCUACAUGAAGUCGGAAUCGCUAGUAAUCGUGGAUCAGCAUGUCACGGUGAAUACGUUCCCGGGUCUUGUACACACCGCCCGUCACACCAUGGGAGCGGGUUCCGCCAGAAGUAGGUAGCCUAACCGCAAGGGGGGCGCUUACCACGGCGGGGUUCGUGACUGGGGUGAAGUCGGAACAAGGUA